This 433-nucleotide ribosomal RNA is filed under the name uncultured bacterium. RNAcentral's name for it is "partial 16S ribosomal RNA". It matches the Rfam family "Bacterial small subunit ribosomal RNA", at positions 29 to 507 of the family's 1533-position model. The record is from RNAcentral.
AACGAACGCUGGCGGCAGGCCUAACACAUGCAAGUCGAGCGGACCCUUCGGGGUUAGCGGCGGACGGGUGAGUAACGCGUGGGAAUAUGCCCUUCUCUACGGAAUAGUCCUGGGAAACUGGGGGUAAUACCGCAUACGCCCUUUGGGGGAAAGAUUUAUCGGGGAAGGAUUAGCCCGCGUUGGAUUAGGUAGUUGGUGGGGUAAUGGCCUACCAAGCCGACGAUCCAUAGCUGGUUUGAGAGGAUGAUCAGCCACACUGGGACUGAGACACGGCCCAGACUCCUACGGGAGGCAGCAGUGGGGAAUCUUAGACAAUGGGGGCAACCCUGAUCUAGCCAUGCCGCGUGAGUGAUGAAGGCCUUAGGGUUGUAAAGCUCUUUCAGCUGGGAAGAUAAUGACGGUACCAGCAGAAGAAGCCCCGGCUAACUCCGUG